GGCUUUGGGACAAGUCAUCUCAUUUCUCUUAUCCUCAGUUUCCUCCUCCAUAAGGCAUAGGCUGGGCCAGAUGAUAUCUAGGGUCUCUGAGAACCAAGCAUUCCAUGGUUCUAUGUAUUUGGAGAGGGGCAGGCUUUCCCUCUGAACCUACAUUCUAAGGUGGAAAGGACAUUGGAACACAAAAUGUCAAAACUUGGGGAAAACAUCUAAUCCAAACCUUCAUUGUAGAGAGGAGGAAGUGGAAGAGUAGCAAAUUAUCCAUCUACCUGAUAGAAAAAGUUAACAAGAUACUAUUCCUUCUAUCAGAGCCCCAGGAAAAGUCCCACAUUGGCCUGACUCCAUUCUGAAUGAUUGUGCAGUAAGAUUCAAUUAAAGUUUAGACGUAAAAGAUGAAAAGAAAGCUUCAGGAUCAGCCUUUCCCCACAUUCUUCUUAGAAGAGAGGUGAGAUUAUAGGUACGUUUUCUACAAUUAGACUCAUAUUGUUCAAACUGGAAGAGCCCUUAGAAAACCCAGUUCUACCGUUGAAGGACCUAGGAUGAGUCUCCUAUCCUCUCUGGACUUCAAUUCUCUCCCAUAAGCCAUCACUCUGAUCUUCCUCUCAUUACCAUGAUUUAAUCUAAACUUUUCCUUUUGGAUAUAAGAAAACUAAGAACCAUGUUAGUCUCCAAGUUUUUCUAAUACCAGUGCUCUCCAUCAACUAUUCCACAGAACAUCCAAUGCUCUCCCCAGUCCCUCGCAAAGCACAACAUUCAGAGGUCCAUCCACUAACCUGAUGUACACUAAUGAUAACUCUCCCUUGCAAAAUUCAACUACAA
This 816-nucleotide long non-coding RNA is filed under the name Monodelphis domestica (gray short-tailed opossum). Its description in RNAcentral is "lncRNA (ENSMODG00000049682.1)". The record is from RNAcentral. Lineage: Eukaryota; Metazoa; Chordata; Mammalia; Didelphimorphia; Didelphidae.